Molecule: ribosomal RNA, 497 nt
Filed under: uncultured bacterium
Lineage: Bacteria
Description: partial 16S ribosomal RNA
Rfam family: Bacterial small subunit ribosomal RNA
Source: RNAcentral
GAUGAACGCUGGCGGCGUGCCUAAUACAUGCAAGUCGAGCGAACAGACGGGGAGCUUGCUCCUUUGACGUUAGCGGCGGACGGGUGAGUAACACGUGGAUAACCUACCUAUAAGACUGGGAUAACUUCGGGAAACCGGAGCUAAUACCGGAUAACAUGUUGAACCGCAUGGUUCAACAGUGAAAGACGGUCUUGCUGUCACUUAUAGAUGGAUCCGCGCCGCAUUAGCUAGUUGGUAAGGUAACGGCUUACCAAGGCAACGAUGCGUAGCCGACCUGAGAGGGUGAUCGGCCACACUGGAACUGAGACACGGUCCAGACUCCUACGGGAGGCAGCAGUAGGGAAUCUUCCGCAAUGGGCGAAAGCCUGACGGAGCAACGCCGCGUGAGUGAAGAAGGUCUUCGGAUCGUAAAACUCUGUUAUUAGGGAAGAACAAAUGUGCAAGUAACUAUGCACGUCUUGACGGUACCUAAUCAGAAAGCCACGGCUAACUACGUG